Molecule: ribosomal RNA, 327 nt
Filed under: uncultured eukaryote
Lineage: Eukaryota
Description: partial 18S ribosomal RNA
Rfam family: Eukaryotic small subunit ribosomal RNA
Source: RNAcentral
CCCUUAGAUGUUCUGGGCCGCACGCGCGUUACACUGAUGAAUGCAACGAGCUCUACCCUUGACCGAAAGGCCCGGGUAAACUUGUGAAACUUCAUCGUGAUGGGGAUAGAUUAUUGCAAUUAUUAAUCUUCAACGAGGAAUUCCUAGUAAGCGCGAGUCAUCAGCUCGCGUUGAUUACGUCCCUGCCCUUUGUACACACCGCCCGUCGCUCCUACCGAUUGAAUGGUCCGGUGAAAUCUUCGGAUUGCUGACCAAGAUCCAGCAAUGGAGCUUGGUUGCGAGAAGUUGAUUAAACCUUAUUAUUUAGAGGAAGGAGAAGUCGUAACA